RNAcentral lists this small RNA (355 nucleotides) under Pan troglodytes (chimpanzee). RNAcentral's name for it is "processed transcript". The record is from RNAcentral. Lineage: Eukaryota; Metazoa; Chordata; Mammalia; Primates; Hominidae.
CACCCCUCAGGGAGGCCUCGGUGAUCUUGCCAGAGCCUCAGCCUCCAUCGCUCUGUAACCUGCGGGUAUUGGAUGAUUCGUAGCUAAGACUUCGCGACACCCUUGAAGCUGAGAAAUGGAACCCUUAACAUUCAGGGAUGUGGCCAUAGAAUUCUCUCCAGAAGAGUGGAAAUGCCUGGACCCUGCCCAGCAGAAUUUGUAUAGAGAUGUGAUGUUGGAGAACUACAGAAACCUGGUCUCCCUAGGUUUGACUUGCAGUAUCCAGAGGAAAUGUGGAGAAACACGGUUGUACAGAAGGGAAGAAAAUAGGUUGAUACUCCUGUUGCAGGACCAUUUGAAGUCUGAGAGUUUCCAG